This 425-nucleotide ribosomal RNA is filed under the name uncultured bacterium. Its description in RNAcentral is "partial 16S ribosomal RNA". It matches the Rfam family "Bacterial small subunit ribosomal RNA", at positions 354 to 796 of the family's 1533-position model. The record is from RNAcentral.
GUGGGGAAUCUUAGACAAUGGGCGCAAGCCUGAUCUAGCCAUGCCGCGUGAUCGAUGAAGGCCUUAGGGUUGUAAAGAUCUUUCAGUGGGGAAGAUAAUGACUGUACCCACAGAAGAAGCCCCGGCUAACUCCGUGCCAGCAGCCGCGGUAAUACGGAGGGGGCUAGCGUUGUUCGGAAUUACUGGGCGUAAAGCGCACGUAGGCGGAACAGAAAGUCAGAGGUGAAAUCCCAGGGCUCAACCUUGGAACUGCCGCCAAAACUGCAUGACUAGAGUAAGGUAGAGGGUAGUGGAAUUCCGAGUGUAGAGGUGAAAUUCGUAGAUAUUCGGAGGAACACCAGUGGCGAAGGCGGCUCACUGGCUCGAUACUGACGCUGAGGUGCGAAAGCGUGGGGAGCAAACAGGAUUAGAUACCCGUGUAGUCC